UGCGCCUACGGGAGGCAGCAGUGGGAAAUAUUGGGCAAUAGGCGCAAGCCUGACCCAGCAACGCCGCGUGAAGGAAGAAGGCUGUCGGGUUGUAAACUUCUUUUCUCAGGGACGAAGCAAGUGACGGUACCUGAGGAAUAAGCCACGGCUAACUACGUGCCAGCAGCCGCGGUAAUACGUAGGUGACAAGCGUUAUCCGGAUUUACUGGGUGUAAAGGGCGUGUAGGCGGGACUGCAAGUCAGAUGUGAAAACCACGGGCUCAACCUGUGGCCUGCAUUUGAAACUGUAGUUCUUGAGGGCUGGG
This 305-nucleotide ribosomal RNA is filed under the name uncultured bacterium. Its description in RNAcentral is "bacterial SSU rRNA". It matches the Rfam family "Bacterial small subunit ribosomal RNA", at positions 334 to 653 of the family's 1533-position model. The record is from RNAcentral.